Long non-coding RNA from Monodelphis domestica (gray short-tailed opossum), 13157 nucleotides. RefSeq lists it as uncharacterized. The record is from RefSeq and is a predicted model, not a curated record. NCBI's taxonomy places the organism in Eukaryota, Metazoa, Chordata, Mammalia, Didelphimorphia, Didelphidae.
AAGUGUCUUUUGUAGACAUAUUUGAACCCAGGACCUGCUGUCUCUUUGCUUGGUUCUCAAUCCACUGAGCCACUUGUCUGCCCCCACAUAAUAAGUCUUUAAAAAUACAUAUUGGUUAAUUAAUAAUUUAGUACCCAGGUAGACAGUUGGGGGGGGGGGAAGCCAAGUUCCCUUCUGCCCGUGAUUUCUCCAUUUCGUCUUUGUGACCAGAGGCUGCUUGGAUCCUGGGGAAAGCCAGAUCUGCCCCGACCGGGAAAUAACCGAGUGUGGGAAUAAACCCACAAUCGCUUUCAUCCCAUCGCGGAGGAGUUUUUCUCUCCAAGCCUGCCAGCCAGGAGGCCUUAAUCAAAGAGCUCCGUGAAACGGUACCUGAAAAGCUUCCUGGAGAAGGGAACGGGAAUAAAAGGUGAAGCAAGCAUUUGAUUCAUCAUCUCCGCAGGCCUUUCUCAUUGCCGGCUCCCAGGGAUUAGGACUCCCAGCCUUUGUUCCGCAGAGUCGGGAAAGAUAAUGAACCCGCGGGAGAGGCGGUGUGGUCACUUAGGGAUUUCACGGGCGACCAUUUGAAACCCUUUUAGGAGCCUUUCUAUGCAAUUGUAGCUGUAAAAUAGAACGCGGGACAGUUCUCCAUUAAAAAAAAAAUACAUGAAUUCCCCCAGCAUGUUCUGGAGGUUGCUCACAAGAAGCCAUUAACAUAGCAAUACCAUCCUGUUUGCAUGUCCUUUGUUGCCCUAAGCCACUACUUGGUGUUUGCUUGGCCUUUCUGUCUUUCACGGAGGGACUUUGGAAACUCUUUGGAGAAAAAGGAGGGGAAACACAUUGCCCCAAAGCUCCAGCAGUUUAGCUUCUAGGAGGGGGGUCCAACCUCCCCAGGGCACCACCAGGAGACCUUGGUCUCUUUGUGAAACAGAACUGAAAAAAAGGAGCCAUUUCUUUUCAUUCUUUCUUUCUUCCUUUUUUUUUCCUGUCUGGAGCUGGAGGUGAAAACCCCAGCACCCAUCAUGGGGAGAAAAUGCAGAGAUUUAGCUAACCAAGACUACAGCCACAGGAAGUUCAAAUGAAGCCCAUAGCUGGUAGGAAAGAACAGGUGUUAGGUUGAAGAAUGGCUCCACAGAUUGCCCUGGCCCACCCAAGCAACCUGGAGGGAAGGGCCUCCACAUGUGUUCUCUCCAGACCCUCUUCUGAUCUAGUGCACUCCGUGUCAUUAGCAAGUCCAAAACUGUGCAUGGUCCCUGCCAGCACCGCCAACACCCCACCCAGGAUCAGAGAAUCCAGCUGGGAUCUUUGGCCUGUUGUGUAACAGCCAAGAAUAAAGAUUCCAUAAUUGGAACCAGCCUGUCUCUUCUGCUGAUGUUGCAGGAGACCAGGAGACAAUUCGGAGCUUGGUUCUUCCAGUUCUUGUGGGGCUCAUGGAAGCAAAUAUUUGUUGGAUCUGGAAAGCAAAGAGAGAGAAAAUGAUGGAACCUGUAACAGGAAAGAUUGAAUCAGUAACAAUUCAUCUUCUUGGGAGCUAAGAGAGGACAGAUGAGUCAGAAUCAGGUGGAGAGAAGUGAAGCUUCAAGACUAACCUAAGAACUCCAACUAUUGAAGAGCUCUUCAUACCUCAGGGCAACUUCAUGAGGACUCCACAAAGGAAGAAAUAGAUUUCUAUAAGACCAAGACCUAGACACAACAAUCUGAGUUUAUCUGAAUUCAACUUGAGACAGUUGGAGAUCUAAGCUUUUUCACCUAAUGGACUUAAUGAACUACAGGAUAUGGAUCAAAGGAUUCAUCAUCGAGUUCCUACAAGAAUAAAGUCUGCUUUGUAAGUGCCACCCACACAACCAACACAGAUUACAAUUCUAGUGUGUAGCCUGGGCAGAGAGUCCUGGAAUUCAAUAGAGCAAGAAGAGUAGACUCCCCACUCAGAGUUCAGAGAAGUGUAUGAGCAAGGGAUAGGGUGGGGCCAGCCUAUCCCUAUUUCCAAAGGGCUGCCCUACUAUCAGGAAAUCAGUCAAUAAACAAGUACCUACUAUGCUCUAGGGCAACUGAGUAACUCAGUGGAUAGUGUGGAAUAGAGUGGAAGACUGAAUUCAAAUCCAGCUUAAAACACUUAUUAGCUGUGUGACCCCACACAAGUCACUUAAGCCUGUUUGUCUCAGUUUCCUCAUUUAUAAAAUGUAUAAAAUGAGCUGGAGAAGGAAAUGGCAAACCAUUUCAGUAUCUUUGUCAAGAAAACCCCAAAUGGGAUCCCAAAGAGCCACUUAUAACUGAAAUGAACAUCUGAAUAUAUGUGAGGUUCUGUGCUAGGGCUGAAGAUGAAAAAAAAGGAGGGGGGGGGGAGUAAAGAAUCCCUAUUAUCAAGGAACCCAGGCAAAGAAAUUCCUAGCCAAGGAUAUUUGAAGAUCAUUCUAGGAAUGAAAGAAGUGGCAGCAGACAUGGAGAUAAAGGUGAAAUAGAUGGGGCAAGGGGAUUGAGGUCCCUACUUCAUUGUUUACCUAUAUUUCUAAUUAACUUUUUCCACCUGAAUUUUGUAGAUGUUCCCCUUGAAAAGUCGUAUCACACAAUAUUUACUAAGACUGGUAAAAGGAAAUGACUUGCUUAAUACUACUUUAAGAUUCACAUAAUUUAACAUCUUCCAUUUCCUUUAUUUUAAUUAGAUUGAAAGGUUCAAAAAUGCUAUUGUAGAGUCAAUACUUCUAAUUAAGUAGGAUGUUAAAGGUAUGAGAUGCCCUUUUUCUCAUCAAUAUUUUAAAGUAUCAUUUAAAUUGAUCUUUCCUAAAUUAUUUCUUACUUCAUAUUAAGCUUUGGGAUUUAAAUCCAAGACACAAAUCUUACAUUGCUUUCCCCAAGACUCUUGGGUAUUCUUGAUAGAAUCAUUUUCCAUGGAAAAUUCUUUCUUAAUAGUUCUUAAUAGUAAAAUAGCAAAAUCCUUCCUUCCUUCCUUCCUUCCUUCCUUCCUUCCUUCCUUCCUUCCUUCCUUCCUUCCUUCCUUCCUUCCUUCCUUCCUCCCUCCUUCCCUCCCUCUCUUUUUUCUUUCUUUUUCUCUUUCUCAUCUUGCUUUUUUGUUUUUAAUUGUUUUUAAUUAAAUUUAAAAAUUUUUUAAUUAAGUGUAGAAACGUUUUUUGACAAUUAUUUUCAGACAUUUUGCAGUUCACAUUCUCUUCCUCCUUUCCUUCCCACCACUUCCCCAAAGUAGUAAAUAACCUGAUAUAGUUUAUACCACUUUAUGCUUGCUGUCUCUAAAGGAAGCUCAGAGGGUUCAUUGAAUACCCUACAUGGGUAUUCUGAUGGCUCCUUUUUUACCAAAUAGCUUCUAAGUCUACCUUUUUUGAGGUAAGAACUGAGGAGUAAGGCCUGGAAUACUUCUUGAAAAACCUAAAGAAUGCUGUCCUUCAGUCUUUUCUGUGUACCCACCCUAUGGUAUUCAUGUUUUCAGCGAUUUCUGUCUAUAAGUGGAACGGAAUACUUGGCAGGCACUGAAGGUUAACCAGAUGAAGUAACUAUUAAGCUUCUGGAGCAGCAAAUUCUCCACAGUGGUCAUUCAAAUAUCAUUUCUGAAAAAGCAAUUUCUUUGUUAUUACUGAUCCGUGUUGCCCCUGAACAGAAGACGAUGGGUCAUACUUUUACCCUAUCACCCUUUUGCCAGAGCUUCUUAUUAUGAGCUAAGUAAUGCAAAAUGGGUCCUCUAACAAUAUGGAUAGGGCAGAGGAAGUUUCUAUUCUUAAAUGGAAAUGUUCCAUUCAAGGUGGGUUCCUUGAGUAUUAGUGCCUUUGACCAUAACAGUGCAAUUCUGAGAGGCUGUGGUCUCCAGUCCUAAUCCCAAUACCGUGACUUUUUCUGCUAAAAGAGAUACCUGCACAUGUGGACUUCAGGGGACAUUAAUAAUCAUGACAAGGAUAGCACUUAUGUAGCACUUUAAGGUUUUAUGCUCACAACAACCAUUUUACACAUGAAGAAUCUGAGAGAGAGGUUCAAUGAUUUGUCCAGGGUUAUAGCAUUAGUAAAUAUCCUAAGUAAAUAUCUUCAAUUCAGGUCUUCCUGAUUCAAAGUCCAGCACUCUAUCCAGUUUGCUACCAAGAUACUUUGACUUUUAUGAAUCUGGUGUGAAUGAAGACAUAUGGGCAAAGACAAAAGUGGAAUCUGCAAAGCAAUAAGAGCUCAAAACAUUUGGAACACAGGAAUCAUUGGAGGAGGGGAGAGACCAUUCCAAUGGAAGCUUGAGGGAAAGGCAGUUAGGAGCUCCAGCUGCCUGGGAAUUCUCUUGGCUGUUUCUGUCUGAAGGUGGAAGAUAGAUCCUCUUCAUCUCCUCUCUGGCCAUUGCUUUCUACUUAGACUGUGAACUGAAGAGAUAUUUGGUUUUGCCCAGAAGAGACUUGUUAGCAGAUUUUUUUUUUUGUUUUCUGAAGAGACUUUUAUUUCAAAAGCCUUCAAUCAACAAGAUAAAUUUAGAAUUUAGGGUGACCGUAAUUUCCCUCUUUCCCCAGCCUCAUCUUAUCCCCUUCUCCACAGAGAAUAACAGAUCCUUUAGUUAAAGUACUAGUUUGUAGGAUUGGUUAUUAGUGAGAAAAUUUUCAACUUACCAUCUGUGAGAAAAAUCUCCACCAAGACAGUUGGUAAAGAAGAAACAGGGAGUAGUAUAGGGGAGGGGCUCAAGAUUCAACCUCUUUCUUUUGCUUACUUCCUGGUUGCAACCUCUCUAAAUUUCCCCCACUAUUAAUUCACCAAGUUUCCAUCUCUAAUACUCUGGUAAUGAUGGAGGAGGGUCCUGCCAAGUCUUCCCACUGGGUCAAGAUGUAAGAUGCAUAGCUAGCAUGCAUCUCUCUAAGAGAAACAAGAGGGAUGGGAUAGAUAAGAUCUUUAUACUGGAUCCUAGAUAAUGGCCAAAAGUCUGGCUGAGUGGCCUGGGGCCCUGAGAGAAAAAGACCAGAAAAUAAAUGACUCCCUUUUGGUAGAUGAAUUAAUGAGAAAAUUUUGACCCAUCUCUCCCACUGCAUACAACUGUUAAUGCAGAAUGUCAGUGCUCAUCAACGACAUCAUAUGACCUCUUCUGCAUCAGAUUGAAAUCAGAUUGAAAUCAGAUUAUGAGAAUGGCAGAGAUUGGAGAAUGGGCCAUUGCCAUUUGGACAACAAAAGCUAUAUUAUUGCGGGCAUAGGACUAUAUGAACCUUUUAAUGAAGGACAAAGCAGAUGCUUCUAUUAGGUGGUGCUCUUUAUGCCAAUAAGAUUCUCUGUCACUUCCCUCCCCUCCACUACCCUCUCCCCCUGACAUCAAAAGAUCUAUAUAGCAUGUCCACUAUGGUCCUUGACUUGCCUUCAACUGGCAAACUGAUUACAUUAGUCUUUUCCCUCCACAACCACAGGGCAAAAGAUUUUCUUUAUUUGUUCCUAUUUAGGAUAUGGUGUUUCUGUGUCAGUCAAAUCCACCCCAGGGCAGUACCAUGGAAGCUCUUAUAGAAUCUAUCCUUCCUUAGGAGCUCCAUUUCACCAGAAUGAUCUGAGAUUAUCCUACUGUCCUUGCAUGUCAGGUUUUCCAUCUCCCAUGCCAACUUUAAGCUGCUAAUAUUGUUGAAAUUUGGAAUCUGCUCUUGGAGUUCACUUGGAAUUCCACUAUUUUAGAAUUCACUAUCAUGCUUCUGAUUAUUGGAGUUAGGUGUCCUGUCUCCUAGAAGCCAUGAUGAGUCAUUGCCAUCACAGGAAGAGGGAGGGCUCUCCAGUUCAGCUAUUUCUUGCUUGGAGUUGGAUUACUCCUCUUGACUAAUAGUAUUCAAAAGAGGCUAGUUCUAAGUCAAGCAAUAAGUUAAAUAUUAAGAGUUGAGAAUCUGGCUGCAUGCCCAGGUGCUAAUCCAGCAUGCCCUCUUGGUAGUGGAAAAGUUUUGCCACCAGAAGAGGAUGACAGAAAUACUUGAUAAUAAUUAGAGAAUACUGCUUACACAAGUCUUAAAUUUUCACAAUACCAAUAGAAAUUACAUGAUAUUGGUCAUGUGAAGUUUCAAUUUUCUUUUGUAUUCCAAAAACUAAUAAAGUUCUUUUUUCCCUCUUUUUCUCAAUCUCCACACCCACCUUCUAAUUCUUGGUCAUUUUUUAAAACUUCCUUUUAUUCUUUUCAGUUAGCAAGCAUUUAUUUUCUUUCCCUUUUAUCUCUCCCUUGGAUAAAAGGAAAACAAAACCCUUAAAUAUGCCUAGUCAAGCAAAACAAAUCCCUACGUUGGUCAAGUCCAGAAAUGUCUGUCUCCUUCUGCACCUCAAAUCCAUCCCCUCACUUUGAGGAGGUAGAUAGCAUGCUUCACCAUUGGAAUCGGUCAUUACAUUGAUCAGAGCUCUUAAGUCUUUUAUCUUUUCUUCAACAACUGUCUUUGCAAUAACAAGGCAUUUGGAAUAAAUGCACAGAUCUUUCUCCUUCGACUUCCCUACAGUUUAGGCCACAUGAGAACCUGACCUUCCAUGUCCAGAUGUUUUUCCAAUUCUGAAUGCUUACCCAGGGGCCCAGAUUCUUUUGUUGAUCUCCAAAUCAUUUUAUAUGGAGACUUACUAAUGUACUGAGAGAGCCCUUCAAUAGGCAAAAUAAAUGAAAGCAGAUGAAGACAUGACCCUCUGAGGUUUUCCUAAAUCGACUUUAACAAAGAGUCUGAGGAGCAAGCUUAUUAUGGUCAGCAGCUUCCCAGUGAGAGGCAGAGUCUCCCCCACAGGGCUGAUUUCAAUGGCCACCAUCGUUAGUGAUAGUAUAUUGAUGGACUGUGGUGUGCUGGGUAGAGUACAAAGCAUCUUCAUUAUGGGCCCCUGCCUUUGUGGAGCUUCCUGCCUACGGAAGGCAACUGAUUUUCUCAGGCGAACUUCUGUAAGUAAAGGCCCUGUUCUUGGAUUCCUCUUCUUUUGAGUCACUUUUACCUGCUGCCAUAGGGCCUACAGUCAUUUUAUAUCAGGCAUUCCAACAGAAAAACCAGUUUCACUUCUAAUCGUUCCCCUAACACACUCUUCAGUACCAUCCUGGAAACCACCCCCUUAGUGUGGGUAUAAAUGGUGACAAAGAUCAUAGAAUAUUGAAACUAAAAGGAAUUCCUUGAGAUCACUGAACUUGACCCCCUCACUUGACAAGUGAAGAAACUGAGGCCUGGAGAAGAGAAAUGAUUUCCUACUCAAGGUCAUAAUGAGUUAAUGUCCAAGCCCAAAUAUUUGGCAUGCUACUGGUUUGGAUGAUCAUUGGGCACGUAAAAGAUAAUUUUAUCUAGCUUUAAUCUGAAAAGUAAAUAUGGUUCUUAUUUUUCUAAAUUAAAAAAAACAUUAUUUGUUUUUAACAUUCCAAUAUAGUUCUUGACAGUGUGUGUAUAUAUAUAUAUAUAUAUAAUUUUUUUUAAGUUCCUUGGUGGUUUUUUUUUCUCUUCGAUUAGAGACUUUUUACCAUUUGGGGGUUAUGGACCCCUUUGAUAGUCUGGCCCCUUUUCAAAAUAAUAUUUUUAAAUGCAUAAAAUAAAAUGUAUAUUACAGAGAAAACCAAUUACAUUGGAAUAUAGCUACCUACAUAUAUAUAUAUUUAAAAAAAAUGAGUUUGCAGACCCCAGAUUAAGAACCCCUGUUUUUAAACCAAGAGGGACCAUAAUAAGUUUGUGUGUGUGUGUGUGUGUGUGUGUGUGUGUGUGUGUGUGUGUGUGUGACCUUUGUCUAGAGCUGACUGGGGGAAGUGGUUUGUAAAAUGAAAUAGGCCUGAGUUGCUUGAAUGAAGAAAACAGAAACCUGGAUAAUGGGAAUUAAUUAGUUGAUUGCUGUUGAGAUGGCAACAGAUUUGCUGCUCUACAUUUAUCCAAUGAUUUUAGUCGUAGCUAGAAAGAUGAAGGUGAAGAAACCUUUGUCUAGGUCUCAAACGUGGUGCAAAAAGCUUUUUUUUUUUUUUGAUGGGAUGUCAAUGACCAUAAAAAAUAAUAAUUUGCACUUAUAUAGUACCUUUCAACCAGGCACCUCAAAGCACUUUAGCCACAUUAAUUAAUUAAGACUCACAGCUCCCCUGUGGAGAGAUAGAGGAUGACUAACCGGAUUUGUAAUAACAAGAGGGAACAUUUCUGAAUGGUUUAUUGUCCACAAAAUCAAAAGAGUAGGUGCAAAGGAAUUGAGGGCUCCAAAGUGUAACUGACUCAGAAAAUAAAAUCCUGGGAGCAUGGUGCGAAGGCCCUUUCUUUUGUCAGAAGGAGGUAGAUGGUUCUCUGAAUGCUUUGACAAGCUUGGUCCAAUAGAGAAUGAAGGUUGUAAGAUAUUAGUGGCAUUUGGAUGGUCAUUAACCACAUCACCAUUGUGGGACAAAUUUAAGUUUCAGUGCUAUAGAAUGUGGCUAGGAGGGUUUCUUGUAUUUCACUCUGAAAUCAAAAGAAUAAGGUUCAUGUAGCAAUUAAUAAAGGAUGGAAUUAUUUCUUUGAGUGUAAAGCUCCAGUCAGAGUCUGUCAACUAAUUAAUAAAUCAACCAUUCAGUCAGAGUUCUGUCUACCAGUCUACACACUCCUGUUACAAUAUUGCUUUUCUAAAAAGGCAUCUCUCAGGUAGUAUCUUGACCAGAAGGUGACACUCUAAAGAUUGUGUGUCAUGCCAGCCACUAGGUCUGCUACCAUCAUGACCUUGUUGGUCCAGUGUCAUCCAUCACAAAGCUGAUUAAAAUGUUCUAACUGGUAGAAGUUGGCUCCUCUGACCCAAGACCCUAAAAGAAAAUCAUUUCUAACUGGUAAAUGUGGAGCCAUUUUAGGAAGAGUUCCUUCUCAAUAGAUUAUUAAGCACCAAAUAAAUAAAAUAAAACAAAAGAAUGACUAAAAAUGAUAUUUUUCUUGUAUUUAAAUUUAUUUAUUUAGAAUAUUUUCCCAUGGUUACAUGAUUCAUGAUUUUUCCUGUCCCCUCUUCCUUCCCUGCUCCUGGAGCGUGAGAAGAAAUUCUACUGCAUGAUGUGUGUAUCAUUGUUCAAAACCUAUUUCCAUAUUAUUCAUAUUUGCAAUAGAAUGAUCUUUUAAUGCCAAAAACCCAAUCAUAUCCCCAUUGAACCACGUGAUCUAUCAUAUGUUGAAAAACUCAAUUUUUAAAAAUGUGUUAUAAAGACCAUCCCAUAGACUCUAUGGCAUAGAGUGUACUUUCCUAGUUCCCCUUGACCAUAGGGCAGAUCUUCCUCUGGCUGUGUUAUGACCUGGUGCUAAAAUAACUUGAUUCUUUUGUUUUAGUAUCAGUUGACAAACCUUGAGGGAACCUUUGGUCCAUUCCCACUUUGGAGCAGAGGCAGAGGGUCAGAAUUCUGUGUGUCAAUAAAAGAAGAAGAAUCUUCUUCUUGGUUCUCUCUUCCUUCAGUCUUCCAUGGGGCAUCAUAUAACAAUGACAAUGUCAUUCAUCACCAGCAACUUGAUGGUGAUUUCACCAAUGUAGCAACUGGGGCAACAGGAUCCAAUAAGCUUGUGUCUGAGCCCUUGGCCAUGUUUUCUGCCUUUCUUUGUUCUUCUUUGACCUUCUGUAAUUAGGUAUCUAUUCUGAGGUGGACAUAUUCAGUCUCGAAAGUGACUUUAUAAAAGGUUUAGAGAUCCUGUGUCCACUGAGGGAAGCUGAUGAGUAUCUAGGUAUCUAUUCAUUAGAGAAGAUGACCGCCAAAAGAAGAUUAGCCCAAACCUAGCCAUUUUACCAGAAAACAUGGUUAGGUAGCUGUUUGGACAGUACAGAACCAAAGUGAAUGUAAAACAAGAUAUCUCACAAACUAGUUUAUGUUGGGAUGACUUUAAGGAUCAGCUUCCCAGCACAUUAUAACAAUUAUUAUAACUUACUAAAUCCAAGAAGGAUGAUGACUAGGACUCUUGGGUCUUCAAGUUUUCCCUAUAGAAUAAAGACAUAAGUACAUGCUUUGUAUGUAUAUCAAAGACUAUUAAUUAGAUUGGGCUUCCACCACUUAUAUCAAUUAAACAAUUUCUUAGGUUGUUUUGGAAAGAGAAUUCUACAUGUUCUAGCAUGGUUACAUGCUAUGUAACUUCAAGUGAUAUCUUCAUGACAUAUAGAGCUGAAAAAUCUGAAUGCUGGUAAUAAUUGAACCUGUGCAUGGAAGCAUGUAGAAUAUAGAGAUAAAAGAGCCAAGGAGAGAGUUUGGGUACAAGGGUACAGCUACAUUGAAGGGAUGGCAGUAGGAUAUUGGACUAAGGAAACAGCCAGAAAAGGAGCAAUUAGAAAAGAGAGGGAGAAUAAUAAUAGCUAGCAUUGAUCUAGUACUUUAAAAUUUGCAAAGUACUUUAUAUAUGCUUAUCUCAUUUGAACCUUACAACAUCCUUGUAAGGUGAGUUGUGUUAUUAUACUCAUUUUAUAGAGGAAGAAACUGAUUUACCCUGGGUCCUAAAGCUAGUAAGGGGCCCAGUUUAGGAUUUGAAUUCAAGUGUUCAUGUCUGCAGGCACUCUAUCCAUUUGUUAUCUUUCAUUUUUCAAAGAGGACAAAUGAUAUUAUGGGGUGAUAUCUUGACUUGCACAAGUACUGGACUUAAAUGAGGCAGAGUUGCAUACAAUCAUCAGCCUCACUCUUCCAGAAUCAUCAAAAUCCAAGAAGACAAAGUCAGGACAACUGGCAAUGGCCCAGAAUGCUGUGGAUGACCUUGAUGUCUUCAAUGACUGACCAAGCUCUAGGUACUCCCUGAGGCCUGCUGCAGGCACCCUCAUGGCCAUUGGAACAAUUGUUCUCAUCUGCCCUUUCCUCAGGGGUGAAGUCUUCACAUGCUUGGAGUAGACAUUUCCCUAAUUCAUUAAUGGGUUUGAGGGCUGUUGGUCACCCUCAACCUGGUUUAGCCUGUCUACUCAGAUAGUUUUAUUGAGGUGCAUACUAGCAUGAGAAGCAUGCUAGAGCUUCUUGGAGCCACAGGUGAGAGCUGGGUGACAGAUGGACACCAACAGUGGAUGAACAGCCCUGAGAAGGGUUCUGCAAGCCCUCACACCCCAUACACCCUAACUGCCUAGAGAACCAGAAGACAAGAAAAGGAGGAGAGCUCAUUCAGGAAAAGAGGGUAGACAACAAUGUCAAAUACAGAAAAAAGGUCAAGGAAGAUUAGAACUGAAGGAAAGGCUGUCAGAUUGAAGAAUUAAGAAGUCAUUGGUUAGCAUUAAGAAAAGUUUCAUUGGGAACCAAAUUGCAAGAGGAAAGGAGACAGAUUAAUGAGGACUAUUUGAAAAUACAAAAAAAAAAGUUGUUUAUACUGUAAGAGUGCCUAAGCCAAGAAAAGUAAAUAGUUUACUUAUUAAAAAUAAGCACUAAAGUGGAGCAGUGAGUGUCAGAUGCCUUGCGAAUGUUGGAGAUCUGAUUAUGUGCUCCUUGUUGGAAAAGCCUACAUUUCUCUACUUUUUUAUCUUUCAUAACAAAUGAUACAGUCCUCUCUUUGAUGAUUAAUCAGUUAUUAUUGAAACAAUAGCACAGGGCCUGGCAGGUAAUAUUUUCAUUAGUUCAAUGAAUUGAUUAACUGUAGCAAUGUGUGGUAAGUAGUGGAUAAGGACAGGACCCCUAAUUUCAUGGGCAUUGAGAACUCCUGAAUGGAUGCAGAAACUCCUGUUACCAAUGCAAAUCGACAACUUAUGGCCUUUUCUGCAACUUAUGGUCUUAGAAUUUGCCUGAGGUCAGUGAAAGGUGAAGUGAUCUGUCCAGGGACACUGUAUGAGAAGAUGGACUAGCCCAGGUGUUCCUGGCUUUGAGCCUGGCUCUCCAUCCACUCUACCACACUAUCUCUCUUACUAUAUACAAGAGCUAAAAAUCAGUGGGACAAUUCUUCACACUGGGCUGUGGCUGCAGAAGCCUAACCUGUGGAAACAGUAGCCCAGGAUGUUCUGGGGAUUGCUGAUUAUCAGCUCCCCAUUGAUUAUCUCUCUCCUUUCAUCACUGAGAAAGAUGAGAAAAUGUUAACAAGAAAAUAGCAUCUAGUAAAGGAAGAGGACACAGAUAAAGGCUUUGUUGUGUUUUAAUGUUUGUCUUAUUUUGUCCACAACAGUUGGAAGCAGGUCAAGUCAUGGCUCUUCUUUUUUCAUCAUGGUGAAUAGUAGUCAUCAUCAAUUCCUUUUCAACGAUUUUUGAAUAUAGUUCAUUUGGUUUGAAAGAACACUAUAUAAUUGACUUGGACAAUAAUCAGUAUUCACUUUCCCAAAUGGUGACAGGGAAGAGCAGAGCCAAGAUGGUGGCUUAGUAGCAGCUAGAAGAGAAGCUUAGAGCAGCAGAGAGCCUCAAAAUAGUCAAAACAACUGAAGUCACAGAACCAAGGAGAUGGAGAGAGGGGGCUCUCCUGUGCAAAACAACUUGAAGGGUAGACAGAGAGAAUAGUUUUUCAUAGGAUAAUGGGGAGCUGGAGGUAAAACUGCACACAGAGGAAUAUGUAGGAUCCACAUCCAAAGUUGACAUUUCUGAAUUAACUUGAUGCAAAGUCCUUUUCUUCACCAUUCCGUGGGCUCCUGAGCCAGGGUCCUGGACUGUUCCCCAUCAAGGUACAAAAUGAUAUGGUGGUCAAGGUGGUUUGACUUGCUUGGUACAUGCUGCCUUCAGCUAAACUGGCAUGCCCUUCUAUAUCCAGCUUGCCUUUUACCCCUUGAAAGUUUAUAAUAAAUUCAAAAUGCUACUUUCAAACCUGUCUGACUGGUUUGUGUUUGACUCUGAACUUCUUUCAAUUCCCUUCCAUGCAUUUUUAAAACAAACUUCACUGAUGCUAUUUAUUAUAAAAUCUCAUUAGCUACCCUCCCCUUCCCAAAUAAAAUCCAUAAUGCUUGUAAUAAGCAUAGUCAAGCAGAACAAGUCCACAUACUUUCCACAUGCAAAAAUGUAUAUUUAAUUCUCUUCCUGGGUACACGACCCCUCUGUCAGGGGCUGGGUGGCAUACUUCUUCAUUGCUCUUCUGGAAUCAGAGUGAAUCAUUGCAUUGAUAAGAGUUCUUAAGUCUUCCAAAGUUAUUUUUUCUUUUCACUGCCAUUCCUGUUUAAAUUGUUCUGCAUGUUUAGCUUGUUUCAUUCUUCAUUAGUUUAUGCAAGUCUCAUCUCUUCUAUCCUUUCCUGUUGUUCAAUAUCAUUGCACUACUGAUCAUAUCAAUAGAUGCAGAAAAAACCUUUGACAAAGUAUAACAAUCUUUGAUACUAAAAAUCCUACAAAGAAUAGGCAGAAAGACCUUUUUUUUUUUUUCAUAAAAAGCAUCUAUCUGAAGUCAAAACAGGAGUGAAGUAAGGGU